Molecule: long non-coding RNA, 1893 nt
Organism: Scylla paramamosain (green mud crab)
Lineage: Eukaryota; Metazoa; Arthropoda; Malacostraca; Decapoda; Portunidae
Exons: 3
Source: RefSeq, a predicted model, not a curated record
GUAAAGGGUGUGUACCUGCCCCGUUGCAAAGGGUUGGGCGGGAAUAAGAAACUGGAACUAACCUUGGGGAAUUGGAAAAGUAAACAACAAAAAAAUUACCAAGACAGUGUGCCUGAUGUGAACUCUUAAAAUGAAACACGUAAGGAUGACAAAGCAUGCAAGGUAAAGUACACUGAGAAAGAGGAGGUAGAAGAGAAGCUUGGAACUAAUAGGGUUCGAAAGGGAGGACUAGCGGUGAUGAGUGAGAAUGACGAAGAGAACUAGAGCAGAGUAAGCAUAGGGAGAAAGUGGAGGAAAAAGAUAAGCUAGGAACUAAUACAAUACGCAAAUGUGACGCUAAAUUAUGUGAUUGAGUGGGUGGGAUAUUAGCUGUGUGUAUGGUUGUAUAGAUAGAAUGUAUGGCAAAGAUUUUACAACUAAGUAUGGAUUCUUAUAAAAAUGACAGGAACGAAACUAAUUCUUUGCUUAGUAAGAAGGAAAAAAAAACGUUUCAUUGUUGCUUACUUACCAGUGUUAGAGCCAUGGUUAAGAAAUACUAGUGGUCCCAGUUUACAAACUUUAAGAUAUUCUACUUCCUAUCAAGAGAGAGAGAGAGAGAGAGAGAGAGAGAGAGAGAGAGAGAGAGAGAGAGAGAGAGAGAGACUUGGUGUAAAUAUCUGUGGAAAAUAUUGUAUAAAUUAUUCUUUUUGGGUGUAAGUUUGAGCUUGGGCAGUGCAAUGUUGAGAAUUGCGCGUGACGUGGAGAGAUAACAUAUUUCUGAAGCGCUUUUCACUCUCACCACGACUAUUUUCAUGAUCUGCUGGGUUCUCAAUACUGUUUCUGCUGUUAAUAAUAUAGAAAUUUUGUUAAUCUGUCACUGGAACCACGCAAAAAGAAAGAAAACACUCUUAAAAACCGGUGUCACAUCAACAGAACCUUUUGAAAGUAGAGGUGUGGCCAGAAGUGUUUCAAGAUACAACUUCCCGUCAAAAAUGCAUUGAUUUACCUGUUAGUCAGCUCGUCAAUCCAUAUCUAUCCUGUGUCUAUCCGUCCACCUCGCACGUGUGAGGAGCUAUGCAUAGAACAGGUGGCCUGUACAGAUAUUACAAUAAUCUAGUACCCCACUAACACCUCUGACGUGCGGCUGCCAAAUGUCUCACAAAUAGUGGGAGACGAGUAGGGCUGGGAGAGUGAGGUGUAAAUAAAGAGUUGGCAACACUGGUUGUAAAGCGUCGAGAGAGAGAGAGAGAGAGAGAGAGAGAGAGAGAGUAUACAGUGGGACGAGAGGCCUUGAGGGUUGAAGCGGUUCCGACCGUUUGCAGCUCUCAGUGCGGUGGCGACUUUGAGGAAGUGAGGUAGUGUGUGUGUGUGAUCUCUCGCCUGCCUGCCACACUGCCUGCUGCAUCCUUGCUUUAUUCAGAAGGAGAACAUGGCGCCACUAGCAACGAUUGAAACUAUCUCUGUUGUUCGACCUCUUAAGGUGAGUGCGUGUGUGCGUACGUGCGUUUGGUACCGGGAAUGACCAGCACCAGGUAAAGUCUUGUCUCAUCUUUAAUUAGGGAGCCCUCAGGUGUGCGGACGGUCAUUAAGAUUGGCCAGGUAAGGAGAUGUAAGGAAUUGUCUUGUGUGUUUUUAAUUGGUGUUUUGUAAAGUUACAGUAAGAGAGAGAGAGAGAGAGAGAGAGAGAGAGGUGGGGACGACUGAGGGUGAAAACAAAAAAAAUAUGAAGUAAAAGAGAGAAAAAUGUGAAUUGAUGAUAAAAAUGCAAGGAAUGAGAAACUAAAAAAUAAAAUUAAGAAAGGGAGGAAUAAAGAGAAAAUAAAAAAGGGAAAAUAAAGAUAAAGGAGUAAAACAAGGAACCGAGACAAGAAAUAAAUAACGAGAAUAGCAAUAAUGAUGAUAAUAAUAGUGUGU